UACCAGACUCCUACGGGAGGCAGCAGUGGGGAAUAUUGCACAAUGGGGGAAACCCUGAUGCAGCGACGCCGCGUGAGCGAUGAAGUAUUUCGGUAUGUAAAGCUCUAUCAGCAGGGAAGAAGAUGACGGUACCUGACUAAGAAGCCCCGGCUAACUACGUGCCAGCAGCCGCGGUAAUACGUAGGGGGCAAGCGUUAUCCGGAUUUACUGGGUGUAAAGGGGGCGCAGACGGCGAUGCAAGCCAGGAGUGAAAGCCCGGGGCCCAACCCCGGGACUGCUCUUGGAACUGCGUGGCUGGAGUGCAGGAGGGGCAGGCGGAAUUCCUGGUGUAGCGGUGAAAUGCGUAGAUAUCAGGAGGAACACCGGUGGCGAAGGCGGCCUGCUGGACUGCAACUGACGUUGAGGCCCGAAAGCGUGGGGAGCAAACAGGAUUAGAUACCCCAGUACAC
Molecule: ribosomal RNA, 449 nt
Filed under: uncultured bacterium
Lineage: Bacteria
Description: bacterial SSU rRNA
Rfam family: Bacterial small subunit ribosomal RNA
Source: RNAcentral